Molecule: ribosomal RNA, 376 nt
Filed under: uncultured organism
Description: partial 16S ribosomal RNA
Rfam family: Bacterial small subunit ribosomal RNA
Source: RNAcentral
GUAGGUGGCAAGCGUUGUCCGGAUUUACUGGGCGUAAAGCGCGCGCAGGUGGCCCGCCAAGUCUGGGGUGAAAUCUCCCGGCUCAACCGGGAGAGGUCUCUGGAAACUGACGGGCUUGAGGAGAGCAGAGGAGAGUGGAAUUUCCGGUGUAGCGGUGAUAUGCGUAGAUAUCGGAAGGAACACCAGUGGCGAAGGCGGCUCUCUGGGCUCUUCCUGACGCUGAGGCGCGAAAGCGUGGGGGAGCGAACCGGGAUUAGAUACCCGGGUAGUCCACGCUGUAAACGUUGGGCACUAGGUGUGGGAGGUAUUGACCCCCCUUCCGUGCCGAAGUUAACGCAUUAAGUGCCCCGCCUGGGGGAGUACGGCCGCAAGGCUA